AGAAUUCGCCCUUCGGUUGAUCCUGCCGGAGGCCGCUGCUUUCCGGCUGGGGCUAAGCCAUGCGAGUCAGGGGGCGUGGCUCUUGGGAGUCCACGCACCGGCAGACGGCUCAGUAACACGUGGACAACCUACCCUCGGGAGGGGGAUAACCCCGGGAAAACUGGGGCUAAACCCCCAUAGGGGAUAGGUGCUGGAAUGCCCUAUCCCCGAAAGUGUGCGGUUGCCGUAAGGCGCCGCACAGCCCGAGGAUGGGUCUGCGGCGGAUUAGGUAGUUGGCGGGGUAACGGCCCGCCAAGCCGAAGAUCCGUACGGGCCAUGAGAGUGGGAGCCCGGAGAUGGCCCCUGAGACACGGGGCCAGGCCCUACGGGGCGCAGCAGGCGCGAAACCUCCGCAAUGCGGGAAACCGCGACGGGGUCAGCCGGAGUGCCCGCGCAUCGCGCGGGCUGUCGGGGAGCCUAAACAGCUCCCCAUAGCAAGAGCCGGGCAAGGCCGGUGGCAGCCGCCGCGGUAAUACCGGCGGCCCGAGUGGCGGCCACUAUUAUUGGGCCUAAAGCGUCCGUAGCCGGGCUGGUAAGUCCCCCGGGAAAUCUGGCGGCUUAACCGUCAGACUGCCGGGGGAUACUGCCAGCCUAGGGACCGGGAGAGGCCGGGGGUAUUCCCGGGGUAGGGGUGAAAUCCUGUAAUCCCGGGAGGACCACCUGUGGCGAAGGCGCCCGGCUGGAACGGGUCCGACGGUGAGGGACGAAGGCCAGGGGAGCGAACCGGAUUAGAUACCCGGGUAGUCCUGGCUGUAAACGAUGCGGGCUAGGUGUCGGGCGAGCCACGAGCUCGCCCGGUGCCGGAGGGAAGCCGUUAAGCCCGCCGCCUGGGGAGUACGGCCGCAAGGCUGAAACUUAAAGGAAUUGGCGGGGGAGCAC
This 918-nucleotide ribosomal RNA is filed under the name uncultured euryarchaeote. RNAcentral describes it as "bacterial SSU rRNA". It matches the Rfam family "Archaeal small subunit ribosomal RNA", at positions 1 to 879 of the family's 1478-position model. The record is from RNAcentral. Lineage: Archaea; Methanobacteriati; Methanobacteriota.